Molecule: ribosomal RNA, 492 nt
Filed under: uncultured bacterium
Lineage: Bacteria
Description: bacterial SSU rRNA
Rfam family: Bacterial small subunit ribosomal RNA
Source: RNAcentral
AGAGUUGAUCCUGGCUUAGGACGAACGCUGGCGGCGUGCCUAACACAUGCAAGUCGAGCGAGGAGAUCCUUCGGGAUGAUCCUAGCGGCGGACGGGUGAGUAACACGUGGGCAACCUGCCUCAUAGAGAGGAAUAGCCUUCCGAAAGGGAGAUUAAUACCUCAUAACAUUGCAGUUUCGCAUGGAACAGCAAUUAAAGGAGUAAUCCGCUAUGAGAUGGGCCCGCGGCGCAUUAGCUAGUUGGUGAGGUAACGGCUCACCAAGGCGACGAUGCGUAGCCGACCUGAGAGGGUGAUCGGCCACAUUGGGACUGAGACACGGCCCAGACUCCUACGGGAGGCAGCAGUGGGGAAUAUUGCACAAUGGGGGAAACCCUGAUGCAAGCAACGCCGCGUGAGUGAUGACGGCCUUCGGGUUGUAAAGCUCUGUCUUCAGGGACGAUAAUGACGGUACCUGAGGAGGAAGCCACGGCUAACUACGUGCCAGCCGCUGC